GAUGAACGCUGGCGGCGUGCCUAAUACAUGCAAGUCGAGCGAACGGACGAGAAGCUUGCUUCUCUGAUGUUAGCGGCGGACGGGUGAGUAACACGUGGAUAACCUACCUAUAAGACUGGGAUAACUUCGGGAAACCGUAGCUAAUACCGGAUAAUAUUUUGAACCGCAUGGUUCAAAAGUGAAAGACGGUCUUGCUGUCACUUAUCGAUGGAUCCGCGCUGCAUUAGCUAGUUGGUAAGGUAACGGCUUACCAAGGCAACGAUGCAUAGCCGACCUGAGAGGGUGAUCGGCCACACUGGAACUGAGACACGGUCCAGACUCCUACGGGAGGCAGCAGUAGGGAAUCUUCCGCAAUGGGCGAAAGCCUGACGGAGCAACGCCGCGUGAGUGAUGAAGGUCUUCGGAUCGUAAAACUCUGUUAUUAGGGAAGAACAUAUGUGUAAGUAACUGUGCACAUCUUGACGGUACCUAAUCAGAAAGCCACGGCUAACUACGUG
RNAcentral lists this ribosomal RNA (497 nucleotides) under uncultured bacterium. RNAcentral describes it as "partial 16S ribosomal RNA". It matches the Rfam family "Bacterial small subunit ribosomal RNA", at positions 28 to 507 of the family's 1533-position model. The record is from RNAcentral.